GGGGUCAAAUUAAUUAUAGAAAUUAAUUUAAUAAAAGAAAUUUUAAAAUUGAAAAUAUUUAAUGGGGGUUAAAGUAUUUUUAAUAGAAAAAAUUUGAAAUUUUAUAGUAAAUUAGUAUUGUGAAAGAAUUUUGAAAUAAUAAUUUAAAGAGUAAUUAAUUUAAAAGUAAAUUUUAUUUAUUGUAUCUUGUGUAUCAGAGUUUAUUAAAAAUUUUUUAUUUAUUUAAAUUUCUCGAAUUUAAAAGAGUUAAUUAAUUAAAAAAAUUAUUGUUUCAUAAAUAUUUUAAAUAGUUAAUUAGAAAUGAAAUGUUAUUCGUUUUUAAAUAUAUCUAGUUAUUUUAGAAAAAAAUUUAAUUUUUAAUUUAAAUUUGAAAUUAUUUAAUUAAUUAAAUAAUUUCAAAUUUAAAUUUGAUAUUUUAAGGGAUAAGCUUUAAUUUAAAUUUUUAUAAUAAAUAUUUAUAAUUUGAAAAUUUUAUAAUUUAUAUUGUUAAUAAAUUUUAAUUUAUUAUAAAUAAUUUCAUUAAAAUUAAAAAUUUAAUUAAAAUUUAAUUUUUUAUAAAAAAAUUUUUUUUAAUUAUUUAAAAUUAGUUAUAAUGAUAAAAUUAGUAUAUAAGUAUUAAAGAUAAUAAAUUUAUAAUUUAGGAAAGUUAUUUUAAAGGAAUUCGACAAAAAGUUAUAUUCACCUGUUUAUCAAAAACAUGUCUUUUUGAAAAAUAAUUUAAAGUCUAAUCUGCCCACUGAUUUAAUUAUUAAAGGGCUGCAGUAAUUUGACUGUACAAAGGUAGCAUAAUCAUUAGUCUCUUAAUUGGUGACUUGUAUGAAAGAUUGGAUGAAAUAUAAAUUGUCUCUAGAAUAAGAAUAGAAAUUAAUUUUUUAAUUAAAAAGUUAAAAUAAAUUAAAAAGACGAGAAGACCCUAUAGAGUUUUAUAAAUAUUAAUUUUUAGGAAUUAAAUUAAUAGUUUAUUCAAAAAAUUAAUAAUUAUUUUAUUGGGGUGAUAGAAAAAUAAAUUGAACUUUUUUUUUAUAAAAACAUAAAUAAGUGGUUAAUUGAUCCAAUAUUUUUGAUUAAAAGAAAAAAUUACCUUAGGGAUAACAGCGUUAUUUUUUUUUUUAGUUCAAAUAAAAAAAAAAGUUUGCGACCUCGAUGUUGGAUUAAGAUAAAAUUUAAAUGCAGAAGUUUAAAAUUUUGAUCUGUUCGAUCAUUAAAAUCUUACAUGAUCUGAGUUCAAACCGGUGUAAGCCAGGUUGGUUUCUAUCUUUUAAAUAUUUUUAUAUUUUAGUACGAAAGGAUUAAAUAUUAUAAUUAAAUUAAGUUAAAUUGAAUUUUAUUAAUGAAUGAAAAUAGAUUUA
This 1349-nucleotide ribosomal RNA is filed under the name Theretra clotho. RNAcentral's name for it is "16S ribosomal RNA". The stretch from base 1088 to 1246 matches the Rfam family "Eukaryotic large subunit ribosomal RNA", at positions 2825 to 2984 of the family's 3401-position model. The record is from RNAcentral. Lineage: Eukaryota; Metazoa; Arthropoda; Insecta; Lepidoptera; Sphingidae.